This is a long non-coding RNA of Centrocercus urophasianus (Greater sage-grouse), 1232 nucleotides long. RefSeq lists it as uncharacterized. Lineage: Eukaryota; Metazoa; Chordata; Aves; Galliformes; Phasianidae. The record is from RefSeq and is a predicted model, not a curated record. The transcript has 3 exons.
AUUGCCUUUGCUGGUGUUUUGUGAGUGAGCUCAGGAUAAGGGAUCCUUCUAUGCAGGUCUCGUUUGGGUUCCACCACCUUUGUACAUCACCUGAACACCCAGGGCUUGCCUGCAUCUCCAACAAGCCAACACCACCCAACUCUGGACCACAGCAUUUUGCCUGGGCCGUCCCCUCCCUGCAGGGGAGGCAGACCCCCCUGCCACAUCUCACCUCUGCGGAUGGCUGCGAGCAGGUCGCUCCGGGCAUCGCUCAUAGGCAUCAGCGGGAUCGGCGGCUUCCGGGACUCGGCGGCGGGGGCCGGCGGUGAGGCUGAGUGCGCUGGCGAGGUGCUAUCCCCUCUAAAACCCAGGCAAUGAAACAUAGAAACGAGGGCUGUGCUUAGACACACUGAAGUUUGGAGGAUGAAUGAUGAAUUCAUCCUACUGCUGACCCAUCCAUCCAGGUGCUGCACUCCCCUGCUUGGGUUGCCAGGCACCAGGCAGCCAUAGACAAGCAAUCCUGAACUGCACCGAAAGCGGCCGUGGUUCUGCACCCAUUGGGAUUUCAGCACGGCGGCAGCGAGACCUCGAGCAUUCAGCUGCUAUGAAAGCUCUGCAAGUCGCUGAAUCACGAAGCACAAGGCCCAGCGCUGCACAUGCAUGCCUGCGUGCUGGAGGGGCUCUGAGCUGCAGAGGGACACGUGCAGGCAGCCACCGGCCCCAGCAAUCCUGCCAAGCAGUGCCCCCUCCCCCCCCGUGUGCAAAUGGAAAGCACUGGUAGAGCCUUGCAGCAGGGAUGUAAAGUGAUGGCCCCUCCCUGCCAUGCAAGGGUGCAAAGCGCACAGGUUCCCUCUCCAUGCAGGAAUGCAAAGUGACAGCACCCCCGCGGCCGUGCGGUGUGCAAAGAGGCUGAGACACCCCCCCCCCCCCACACACACAUACUCCAUGUGUGGACGCAGAGAGUCCUCGACUCCCCCACACUGACUGCUCUAGGACUCCUUCCCGAUGGGAGGUGCAGGCAGCCUUACACCCCCGCCCCAUGCAUGGGCAAAAACCUCCAUGAAGAGCUGGGAAGUGAGGGUCUCCCCCCAUCAUGAAAAUCGGCAAAGUGACGGGGGACCCCUCCCCACGCAAGGAUGCACAGCGUCCAGCCCCCCUACGCAUGGAUACGGUUGGGGGGGAGCACAGGGAUCCAAAGUGGAGGCGAUACUCCCCCUCCCCAAGGAUGCAAAGCUGUAUCCUCCCCGACUCAA